Solanum stenotomum is the source of this 554-nucleotide long non-coding RNA. RefSeq lists it as uncharacterized. The transcript is spliced from 3 exons. Lineage: Eukaryota; Viridiplantae; Streptophyta; Magnoliopsida; Solanales; Solanaceae. The record is from RefSeq and is a predicted model, not a curated record.
GGUGGAAUGCCUCGGAGGAAUCUUUUCCCCUGCUUGAAACACUUGUUAUGGAAGAGUGUGACGACCUAGAGGAGAUCCCCCUUAGCUUUGCAGAUAUUCCAACACUGAAACAAAUUAAGUUGAUUAGGUGUGAGAACAAAUCUCUGGAGGAUUCAGCUGUGAGGAUUAAGAAAGAUGUUGAAGAGAAUGAAGGAAACGACCGUAUUGACCUCAUUAUCAAAGAUAGGUGAGGAAAUCCAAAGCAGCUGUGAGUAAAGCAUGUACUUGUCACGACAACAUGAAAACUGCAGCAAAAGCACAAACAGCAUGGACCGAGUUCACUCUUAGCAAAUUGUUGUAACCAUGCUCAUGCUGGAGUCUAUUAGCCGGAACACCCAUCCUUGUGACACUACUACUGAUUGCUAAGGUUUUUCUUAUUGUUCGACAUAGACGACUCAUUCCUACUGGGAAGGGAAGGAUUAUGCCUUGAUUCUCUUUUUCCAGUAUGUUUCAGAUGCUAUUCCACUGUGAUGCCCUAUAUAAAUAUCAUCACUUGCUUUUGUAAAUUGGUCGUU